RNAcentral lists this long non-coding RNA (787 nucleotides) under Struthio camelus australis. RNAcentral's name for it is "lncRNA (ENSSCUG00000017740.1)". The record is from RNAcentral. Lineage: Eukaryota; Metazoa; Chordata; Aves; Struthioniformes; Struthionidae.
UAAGCGUAUGCUGGGGCAUCAGCCUGUUGCAAAGACUUCAAUGAGCAGCUGAAUGUCAGCAUCCUGAAAACACUAGUUGCAGGCACCAGUACGGCUGUGAAACCCCAAUUACCAAACCCCUUCGUGCAAGUGGACUCCGUACAGGACUGAGGUAUCAAGACAACGAAGAAAGCCAGUGCAAACAAUACAUUUAUAUCACAGUGGAGGAAAUGUACAAGAAUCAGAAGAAUCAGUGGUGGUUAGUCAAGAAGUCAGAAUGGUGAAGAGUUUAAUAUUUUCAGGGAGCAGCAAGAGCGGGGCUGCUCCAAGAAGGAAGACAAGUGGGCGCCGAGGGUGACCGCAACGCUGGCAUUGCCUUCCCUGACCCAGGUGCAAUCGCACGUGGUCCAAACACAGUAGGCAGAGCCAGCCGCUGGCAACGGGGUUUAUCGAUAGUCCCAGACAAGGCCAAGGGAUGAAAAGAGUGCAGUCAGGAACAGCAGGAGACAAGGCUACAAUGCAUAAGCAUCUGCAAACAUUGCUUCCAGGUGCAACAGGACCGCAGAAGUCCAAUUGUUCUUCACACAACAGUCUGUUAAAAAGAUGGAACUGCUUGACAUUUUCUUCACUCUGUGCAACAGAUAUCAACCUUUUCUGCUUUUUAUUUGAAAUGACAUGUGUAGGGCCAUUUCAUUUGUGUAGCUGAAAAUCUCCAAUGACAACUCUUCCAUUUCCAAGACAAUUCAUUUUUUUUAUUUUCCGUAUUUGUGUUAAUAAACAAAAAAGGUUGUGAAUAUGAAUGCCCUUG